AGAGUGAACGCUGGCGGUAGGCCUAACACAUGCAAGUCGAACGGCAGCACAGUGGUAGCAAUACCAUGGGUGGCGAGUGGCGGACGGGUGAGGAAUACAUCGGAAUCUACCUUUUCGUGGGGGAUAACGUAGGGAAACUUACGCUAAUACCGCAUACGCCCUUUGGGGGAAAGCCGGGGAUCGCAAGACCUGGCGCGGAUAGAUGAGCCGAUGUCGGAUUAGCUAGUUGGUGAGGUAAUGGCUCACCAAGGCGACGAUCCGUAGCUGGUCUGAGAGGAUGAUCAGCCACACGUGGAACUGAGGCACGGUCCAGCCUCCGUACGGGAGCAGCAGGU
Molecule: ribosomal RNA, 335 nt
Filed under: uncultured soil bacterium
Lineage: Bacteria
Description: bacterial SSU rRNA
Rfam family: Bacterial small subunit ribosomal RNA
Source: RNAcentral